Molecule: unclassified non-coding RNA, 372 nt
Filed under: uncultured bacterium
Lineage: Bacteria
Description: contains 16S-23S intergenic spacer region
Source: RNAcentral
UCCGGCUUACCACCGGCGGUCCCACUAGAGUGCCCAACUAAAUGCUGGCAACUAAUGGCGAGGGUUGCGCUCGUUGCGGGACUUAACCCAACAUCUCACGACACGAGCUGACGACAGCCAUGCACCACCUGUCAUGGGCCCUUUCGGACACCGUAUCUCUACGGCUUUUCCCAUGAUGUCAAACCCAGGUAAGGUUCUUCGGGUCGCAUCGAAUUAAGCCGCAUGCUCCGCCGCUUGUGCGGGGACCCGUCAAUUCCUUUGAGUUUAAGCCUUGCGGCCGUACUCCCCAGGCGGUCAACUCCACGCGUUGGCUUCGUUACCAAGGAAUUACUUCCCCGACAACUAGUUGACAUCGUUUAGGGCGUGGACUAC